This 460-nucleotide ribosomal RNA is filed under the name uncultured bacterium. RNAcentral describes it as "partial 16S ribosomal RNA". It matches the Rfam family "Bacterial small subunit ribosomal RNA", at positions 338 to 795 of the family's 1533-position model. The record is from RNAcentral.
CCUACGGGAGGCAGCAGUGAGGAAUAUUGGUCAAUGGACGCAAGUCUGAACCAGCCAUGCCGCGUGCAGGAAGACGGCUCUAUGAGUUGUAAACUGCUUUUGUACGAGGGUAAACGCAGAUACGCGUAUCUGUCUGAAAGUAUCGUACGAAUAAGGAUCGGCUAACUCCGUGCCAGCAGCCGCGGUAAUACGGAGGAUUCAAGCGUUAUCCGGAUUUAUUGGGUUUAAAGGGUGCGUAGGCGGUCGGAUAAGUUAGAGGUGAAAUCUCGAGGCGCAACCUCGGAAUUGCCUCUGAUACUGGUAGGCUAGAUAGUAGUUGAGGUAGGCGGAAUGUAUGGUGUAGCGGUGAAAUGCUUAGAGAUCAUACAGAACACCGAUUGCGAAGGCAGCUUACCAAGCUACUUCUGACGUUGAGGCACGAAAGCGUGGGGAGCAAACAGGAUUAGAUACCCCUGUAGUC